RNAcentral lists this ribosomal RNA (200 nucleotides) under uncultured bacterium. Its description in RNAcentral is "partial 16S ribosomal RNA". It matches the Rfam family "Bacterial small subunit ribosomal RNA", at positions 524 to 723 of the family's 1533-position model. The record is from RNAcentral.
UACGGAGGGUGCAAGCGUUAAUCGGAAUUACUGGGCGUAAAGCGCUCGUAGGCGGUUUGUUAAGUCGGAUGUGAAAGCCCCGGGCUCAACCUGGGAACUGCAUUCGAUACUGGCAAACUAGAGUAUAGAAGAGGCAAGUGGAAUUCCGGGUGUAGCGGUGAAAUGCGUAGAUAUCCGGAGGAACAUCAGUGGCGAAGGCG